This 253-nucleotide ribosomal RNA is filed under the name uncultured bacterium. RNAcentral describes it as "partial 16S ribosomal RNA". It matches the Rfam family "Bacterial small subunit ribosomal RNA", at positions 524 to 776 of the family's 1533-position model. The record is from RNAcentral.
UACAGAGGUGGCAAGCGUUGUUCGGAAUUACUGGGCGUAAAGGGCGCGUAGGCGGUCCUACAAGUCCCGCGUGAAAGCCCCCGGCUCAACUGGGGAACUGCGCGGGAAACUGUAGGGCUUGAGUUCGGGAGAGGGAAGCGGAAUUCCGGGUGUAGCGGUGAAAUGCGUAGAUAUCCGGAGGAACACCGGUGGCGAAGGCGGCUUCCUGGACCGACACUGACGCUGAGGCGCGUAAGCUAGGGGAGCAAACGGG